AUUGAACGCUGGCGGCAUGCCUUACACAUGCAAGUCGAACGGCAGCACGGGAGCAAUCCUGGUGGCGAGUGGCGAACGGGUGAGUAAAGUAUCGGAACGUGCCCAGUCGUGGGGGAUAACGUAGCGAAAGUUGCGCUAAUACCGCAUACGGUCUAUGGAUGAAAGCGGGGGAUCGCAAGACCUCGGGCGAUCGGAGCGGCCGAUAUCAGAUUAGGUAGUUGGUGGGGUAAAGGCUCACCAAGCCGACGAUCUGUAGCUGGUCUGAGAGGACGACCAGCCACACUGGGACUGAGACACGGCCCAGACUCCUACGGGAGGCAGCAGUGGGGAAUUUUGGACAAUGGGCGCAAGCCUGAUCCAGCCAUGCCGCGUGCAGGAUGAAGGCCUUCGGGUUGUAAACUGCUUUUGUACGGAACGAAAAGGUUUGACUUAAUACGUUGGACUCAUGACGGUACCGUAAGAAUAAGCACCGGCUAACUACGUGCCAGCCGCCGCCGUAA
RNAcentral lists this ribosomal RNA (500 nucleotides) under uncultured bacterium. RNAcentral describes it as "partial 16S ribosomal RNA". It matches the Rfam family "Bacterial small subunit ribosomal RNA", at positions 30 to 523 of the family's 1533-position model. The record is from RNAcentral.